Molecule: ribosomal RNA, 853 nt
Filed under: uncultured bacterium
Lineage: Bacteria
Description: bacterial SSU rRNA
Rfam family: Bacterial small subunit ribosomal RNA
Source: RNAcentral
AGAGUUUGAUCCUGGCUCAGGACGAACGCUGGCGGCGUGCCUAACACAUGCAAGUCGAACGGAGAAUUGAAGCUUGCUUUAAUUCUUAGUGGCGGACGGGUGAGUAAAGCGUGAGCAACCUGCCUAUUAGAGGGGGAUAACUUCCGGAAACGGAUGCUAAUACCGCAUAUAGUACAUAAUUCGCAUGAAUAAGUGUAUGAAAGGAGCAAUCCGCUGAUAGAUGGGCUCACGUCCGAUUAGUUAGUUGGUGAGGUAAAGGCUCACCAAGACCGCGAUCGGUAGCCGGGCUGAGAGGCUGAACGGCCACAUUGGGACUGAGAUACGGCCCAGACUCCUACGGGAGGCAGCAGUGGGGGAUAUUGCACAAUGGGGGAAACCCUGAUGCAGCAACGCCGCGUGAGGGAUGAAGGUUUUCGGAUUGUAAACCUCUGUCCUUAGGGAAGAAAAAAAUGACGGUACCUAAGGAGGAAGCUCCGGCUAACUACGUGCCAGCAGCCGCGGUAAUACGUAGGGAGCGAGCGUUGUCCGGAAUUAUUGGGUGUAAAGGGUGCGUAGGCGGCUAUGUAAGUCAGGCGUGUAAUUCAGAGGCUUAACCUCUUGACGGCGCUUGAAACUGUGUAGCUUGAGUGGAGUAGAGGCAGAUGGAAUUUCCAGUGUAGCGGUGAAAUGCGUAGAUAUUGGAAGGAACAUCGGUGGCGAAGGCGAUCUGCUGGGCUCUAACUGACGCUGAGGCACGAAAGCAUGGGGAGCAAACAGGAUUAGAUACCCUGGUAGUCCAUGCCGUAAACGAUGAUUACUAGGUGUGGGGGGACUGACCCCUUCCGUGCCCGGAGUUAACACAAUAAGUAAUCCA